Molecule: ribosomal RNA, 274 nt
Filed under: uncultured bacterium
Lineage: Bacteria
Description: partial 16S ribosomal RNA
Rfam family: Bacterial small subunit ribosomal RNA
Source: RNAcentral
AUACGUGGAGGGCAAGCGUUACUCGGAAUCACUGGGCGUAAAGCGCGCGCAGGCGGUCUUUUAAGUUGGAUGUGAAAGCCUACGGCUCAACCGUAGAACUGCAUCCAAAACUAUUAGACUAGAGUGUGGGAGAGGAAGAUGGAAUUAGUUGUGUAGGGGUAAAAUCCGUAGAGAUAACUAGGAAUACCAAAAGCGAAGGCAAUCUUCUGGAACACUACUGACGCUGAGGCGCGAAAGCGUGGGGAGCAAACAGGAUUAGAAACCCUAGUAGUCC